This 468-nucleotide ribosomal RNA is filed under the name uncultured bacterium. RNAcentral's name for it is "partial 16S ribosomal RNA". It matches the Rfam family "Bacterial small subunit ribosomal RNA", at positions 28 to 507 of the family's 1533-position model. The record is from RNAcentral.
GACGAACGCUGGCGGCGUGCUUAACACAUGCAAGUCGAACGGAAAGGCCCUGCUUUUGUGGGGUGCUCGAGUGGCGAACGGGUGAGUAACACGUGAGUAACCUGCCCUUGACUUUGGGAUAACUUCAGGAAACUGGGGCUAAUACCGGAUAGGAGCUCCUGCUGCAUGGUGGGGGUUGGAAAGUUUCGGCGGGUGGGGAUGGACUCGCGGCUUAUCAGCUUGUUGGUGGGGUAGUGGCUUACCAAGGCUUUGACGGGUAGCCGGCCUGAGCGGGUGACCGGCCACAUUGGGACUGAGAUACGGCCCAGACUCCUACGGGAGGCAGCAGUGGGGAAUAUUGCACAAUGGGCGGAAGCCUGAUGCAGCAACGCCGCGUGCGGGAUGACGGCCUUCGGGUUGUAAACCGCUUUCGCCUGUGACGAAGCGUGAGUGACGGUAAUGGGUAAAGAAGCACCGGCUAACUACGUG